Molecule: ribosomal RNA, 301 nt
Filed under: uncultured bacterium
Lineage: Bacteria
Description: partial 16S ribosomal RNA
Rfam family: Bacterial small subunit ribosomal RNA
Source: RNAcentral
CAGCAGCCGCGGUAAUACGUAGGGUGCAAGCGUUAAUCGGAAUUACUGGGCGUAAAGGGCUCGCAGGCGGUUUCUUAAGCCUGAUGUGAAAGCCCCCGGCUCAACCGGGGAGGGUCAUUGGAAACUGGGAAACUUGAGUGCAGAAGAGGAGAGUGGAAUUCCACGUGUAGCGGUGAAAUGCGUAGAGAUGUGGAGGAACACCAGUGGCGAAGGCGACUCUCUGGUCUGUAACUGACGCUGAGGAGCGAAAGCGUGGGGAGCGAACAGGAUUAGAUACCCGAGUAGUCCCUGUCUCUUAUAC